RNAcentral lists this ribosomal RNA (484 nucleotides) under uncultured bacterium. RNAcentral's name for it is "partial 16S ribosomal RNA". It matches the Rfam family "Bacterial small subunit ribosomal RNA", at positions 30 to 507 of the family's 1533-position model. The record is from RNAcentral.
AUUGAACGCUGGCGGCAGGCCUAACACAUGCAAGUCGAGCGGAUGAAGGGAGCUUGCUCCUGGAUUCAGCGGCGGACGGGUGAGUAAUGCCUAGGAAUCUGCCUGGUAGUGGGGGAUAACGUCCGGAAACGGGCGCUAAUACCGCAUACGUCCUGAGGGAGAAAGUGGGGGAUCUUCGGACCUCACGCUAUCAGAUGAGCCUAGGCUGGAUUAGCUAGUUGGUAGGGUAAAGGCCUACCAAGGCGACGAUCCAUAACUGGUAUGAGAGGCGGAUCAGCCACACUGGAACUGAGACACGGUCCAGACUCCUACGGGAGGCAGCAGUAGGGAAUUUUGCGCAAUGGGCGAAAGCCUGACCGAGCAAUGCCGCGUGAGUGAGGAAGGUUUUCGGAUCUUAAAACUCUUUUAUUAGGGAAGAAGAUAUGUGUAAGUAACUGUGCCUGUUUUGACGGUACCUAAUCAGAAAGCCCCGGCUAACUACGUG